UUCUCUGAUCAUUAAGCUUCAUCCCUACAAUGGGAAUACCCCUAUGUCCCUACUGGCAAGACAGAACUGAGCUAGCAGACACAAUGUGCCUAUUAACAGUGUUUGGAACUUGAUAAAUAUUAAGUUAUGGUUUAUAUCAAUCCUCUUCCUUUUUGCCUUCAUAUCACUAAUAUGAGUUUUCUAUGUUAUUUGAGAAAAUGCAAUUCUACUACAGAAAACAGGAAAACAAACCAGGAUGAAAUAAAAUAUUAUGUAUAGAUGGUAAGUAAAUAAACUGCCAUGUGAAUAUGGAAAGGAUUCAUGAGACAUAUUAUAUAGAGAGUAAUUUAGUUGCUUGUAAGAUAUGCUGAAGACAAAAUAAGUGGAAUAUAUAGUAAUAUCUGCCAAACUUUUUAUUCCUAGAUGAAAAGGAAUAAAAAGACCAAAAGGCCAAAUCACACAGCUGCCACCUCUGGGUCUCUAAAUCAACCACCUUUGAUAACAAACAGUAGGGUUCCUUCCUGGCUCCCUAAGCCUGUCUCCAGAAUGCUGAAAGUCACCUGUUCUCCAAAGGUUGUGCCACCAAAUCAAGGAAAAGCAAUAGAAGGCAGCCCCAAAAUGAAGAACCAGGUAUCCUUACAGGAAUGUAGUGAACCCCAAAGGGCUAUGUGAAAAUGCAUUUGCUGCAAGCGGGAACAUCAGGGGAAUUUGGUGCCUCCAACCAAGUUAACAUAUCUUUCAAUCACCUGUGAUAUUGCAGAAUAAUGGCAACUACCAUGGAAAGAUGAAAUACAUAUGGUGCUGUAAAAACCAGGAGAGCCCAAGGGCAUUUUGCUCUUGCCAUUCCUGAGGAGUUCAUUGCCUACAGAUAAGCCCUCUCUUUGCCUGCUGCCAUCCACGUAAGAUGUGACUUGCUCCUCUUUGCCUUCUGCCAUGAUUGUGAGGCCUCACCAGCCAUGUGGAACAGUAAGUCCAAUAAAUCUCUUUCUUUUGUAAAUUGCCCAGUCUCGGGUAUGUCUUUAUCAGCAGCAUGAAAACAGACUAAUACAUGGUAUCAGCCUUGUGAUAGCAAUCCUCAGCCCCACACUGUGUGAAGCAGAUAUUGUUUCUACCACCAUACAGUGAAAGAAAUGGACACCCAGAAAGGCAAUGUGCGUUCCAAAAGUUAAAAGCUCUAUUAA
Pan troglodytes (chimpanzee) is the source of this 1160-nucleotide long non-coding RNA. RefSeq lists it as uncharacterized. The transcript is spliced from 4 exons. The record is from RefSeq and is a predicted model, not a curated record. Lineage: Eukaryota; Metazoa; Chordata; Mammalia; Primates; Hominidae.